Molecule: ribosomal RNA, 449 nt
Filed under: uncultured prokaryote
Description: bacterial SSU rRNA
Rfam family: Bacterial small subunit ribosomal RNA
Source: RNAcentral
UGGGGAAUAUUGCACAAUGGGGGGAACCCUGAUGCAGCCAUGCCGCGUGUGUGAAGAAGGCCUUCGGGUUGUAAAGCACUUUCAGUGGUGAGGAAGGGUGUAAUGCUAAUACCAUUACACAUUGACGUUAGCCACAGAAGAAGCACCGGCUAACUCCGUGCCAGCAGCCGCGGUAAUACGGAGGGUGCGAGCGUUAAUCGGAAUUACUGGGCGUAAAGCGCACGCAGGUGGUCAAUUAAGCUAGAUGUGAAAGCCCAGCGCUCAACGUUGGAUGGUCAUUUAGAACUGGUUGACUAGAGUAUUGGAGAGGGGAGUGGAAUUUCUGGUGUAGCGGUGAAAUGCGUAGAGAUCAGAAGGAACAUCAGUGGCGAAGGCGACUCUCUGGCCAAAUACUGACACUCAUGUGCGAAAGUGUGGGUAGCGAACAGGAUUAGAUACCCCCGUAGUCC